GUGGAAAGGCUUUCGUUGUUCUGGCAUACCUCACUCGGCACCAGAGCAUCCAUAAUGGAGAGAAAUCAUUUGAAUGCCAGCAGUGUGGGUCAACCUUCAAAUACAAAUCCCAGCUCAAUAAACAUCAGAGAAGUCAUACUGAUGUGAAACUCUUUCAGUGCAUGGAAGGUGGAAAUGACUUUGUUCCUGGAACAAACCUUAGCAUUCAUCAGGGAAUCCAUAGUGGUGAGAAUCCCUUUCAGUGUAAUGAAUAUGGGGAAGCUUUUAAAUACCAUUACCAAUUUCCUUGGACAUUUUAGAAUUCAUAUUGACAAGAAUCCUUAUGAAUGUAAAAAAUGUGGGAUGUACUUUGUACCUGGUAGAGAUGUUAAACUACAUCAAAGAAUUCACACUGGUGAAAAACUUAGAAUUAGGAAUG
RNAcentral lists this long non-coding RNA (418 nucleotides) under Rattus norvegicus (Norway rat). RNAcentral's name for it is "long non-coding RNA NONRATT002449". The record is from RNAcentral. Lineage: Eukaryota; Metazoa; Chordata; Mammalia; Rodentia; Muridae.